Molecule: transfer RNA, 77 nt
Filed under: Thermofilum pendens
Lineage: Archaea; Thermoproteati; Thermoproteota; Thermoprotei; Thermofilales; Thermofilaceae
Also listed under: 2 other names
Description: tRNA-Gln
Rfam family: tRNA
About the family: Transfer RNA (tRNA) molecules are approximately 80 nucleotides in length. Their secondary structure includes four short double-helical elements and three loops (D, anti-codon, and T loops).
Source: RNAcentral
AGCCCGGUGGUGUAGCGGCCAAGCAUGGCGGGCUUUGGACCCGCAGAUCCCGGGUUCGAAUCCCGGCCGGGCUACCA